GAAUAAUUGAUGGAAACGUCUUGUAAUGCCCUAUAUGCCUUUAUGACAAAAGUCAGCAAGGGAAAUAUUUAUAGCUCUAAGAUCGGUCUGUAUGGUAUCAGAUAGUUGGUGAGGUAAUGGCUUACCAAGUCUAUGACACCUAACUGGUUUGAGAGGAUGAUCAGUCACACUGGAACUGAGACACGGUCCAGACUCCUACGGGAGGCAGCAGUGGGGAAUAUUGCACAAUGGACGAAAGUCUGAUGCAGCAACGCCGCGUGGAGGAUGACACAUUUCGGUGCGUAAACUCCCUUUAUAUAUGAAGAUAAUGACGGUAAUAUAUGAAUAAGCACCGGCUAACUCCGUGCCAGCAGCCGCGGUAAUACGGGGGGUGCAAGCGUUACUCGGAAUCACUGGGCGUAAAGCGCAUGUAGGCGGAUUAGAAAGUCAGAAGUGAAAUCCUAUAGCUCAACUAUAGAACUGCUUCUGAAACUCCUAAUCUAGAAUAUGGGAGAGGUAGAUGGAAUUUCUGGUGUAGGGGUAAAAUCCGUAGAGAUCAGAAGGAAUACCGAUUGCGAAGGCGAUCUACUGGAACAUUAUUGACGCUCAGAUGCGAAAGCGUGGGGAGCAAACAGGAUUAGAUACCCUGGUAGUCCACGCCCUAAAUGAUGCACACUAGUUGUUGCUAGGCUAGACCUGGCAGUAAUGCAGUUAACACAUUAAGUGUGCCGCCUGGGGAGUACGGUCGCAAGAUUAAAACUCAAAGGAAUAGACGGGGACCCGCACAAGCGGUGGAGCAUGUGGUUUAAUUCGACGAUACGCGAAGAACCUUACCUGGCCUUGACUUAAGAAGAACACCCUAAAAGAUAGAGUAGUGCUAGCUUGCUAGAACUUCUUUACAGGUGCUGCCCGGCUGUCGUCAGCUCGUGUCCUGGAAAUGUUGGGGUUAAGUCCCCGCACCGAGCGCCACCCCCCGGGAUUAGUUGCUAACAGUUCCGCUGGAAAACCUUAAUCCAAAUUGCCUUCCUUAAGGAGGAAGGAAAGGGU
This 1026-nucleotide ribosomal RNA is filed under the name uncultured Campylobacterales bacterium. Its description in RNAcentral is "bacterial SSU rRNA". It matches the Rfam family "Bacterial small subunit ribosomal RNA", at positions 141 to 1179 of the family's 1533-position model. The record is from RNAcentral. Lineage: Bacteria; Pseudomonadati; Campylobacterota; Epsilonproteobacteria; Campylobacterales.